Punica granatum (pomegranate) is the source of this 1038-nucleotide non-coding RNA. The record is from RefSeq and is a predicted model, not a curated record. NCBI's taxonomy places the organism in Eukaryota, Viridiplantae, Streptophyta, Magnoliopsida, Myrtales, Lythraceae.
UUGUGAUGUUGAAUUGAAGAUAAGUGGAGUUGAGCUGAACAUUGUUCCGAAAACAAACACACCAUUAAUCUUUGGAGAAUUCAAUACGAUAAAAGAUGUAAGCUGUGUUGGGGGGAGUUAUUGAAGCAAUAAUUCUAACGCGAAAUCAUUCGUUACUAUGGACUGACGGACAGAGGUUCAUACUGAAUGCUGUUUAGGAAAACGCCAAUCUACAUGAUAAUUGAUAUGAUUGGGCCAAACCAAACGCCGAAGUACGGGUGACAGUCGGGAUAUAUUUGUCAUUUUAAAAAACUAUGUUCUUGGAUUGGAGCGUGGUGUCACAUCCGUCCGGGCGGGUGGGGAGAAAGACUGGACGAGUGGGCCCACAUGGGCAGUGUGGCGCCACUCCAAAUUUUUAUUUUUGGGAGAAAUUGCUUCCCUGAAUUUUCACGUUGUCCACGCAAGGUAUUGUUAAUUAUACAUCCGCGACCACGGAAGCCGCCCCGCAUCGACGGCUCAGGAUUGCCAGCCGAUGGGAGUCAUCACUGUCCACGUGCCGAGUUGGCUGUCCAACCCACGAGCACGUGACGGUUGCUGCUUCCUUUACUUCCCACGACGUGAAGUGAACUGAAAUUGCCUCGACCAAAUCAAGCCUCGUUGAAUACAUUCCAAAAAGAAUACGAGGAAAAUUAUGCUAUUUCCCCGAAUUGGGGGCUGCCGGUUCGCUCACAAUGGCCGUCUAAUGGAUUGUCGUUCGACGCGUGGCGUCAUCCUAUUGAGUUGUUUUCGAAUAUAACUUAGAAGAAGUAGUUUCUGUUGCGAUGGAAUGGCACAAGAAUUGUACCCUCGAAGGCGGCGCGGUGCUUCGAAGGGACUGACUGAACUGGGUUCGGCAUGUAUCAUGUGAUUUCUGGGGAAUGAAGGAAGUAGUUUCUAUGGCGAUGAAAUGGCACUAGAAUCGGACCCCCAAAGGCACCGGCUUGGAGGGACUGACUGGGUUUGGCAUGUAUCAUGUGAUUUCUAGAGAAUGAACAUAAGAAAGCACCGAUUGAAAUGAUA